This 468-nucleotide ribosomal RNA is filed under the name uncultured bacterium. RNAcentral's name for it is "partial 16S ribosomal RNA". It matches the Rfam family "Bacterial small subunit ribosomal RNA", at positions 28 to 507 of the family's 1533-position model. The record is from RNAcentral.
GACGAACGCUGGCGGCGUGCUUAACACAUGCAAGUCGAACGGAAAGGCCCUGCUUUUGUGGGGUGCUCGAGUGGCGAACGGGUGAGUAACACGUGAGUAACCUGCCCUUGACUUUGGGAUAACUUCAGGAAACUGGGGCUAAUACCGGAUAGGAGCACCUGCUGCAUGGUGGGGGUUGGAAAGUUUCGGCGGUUGGGGAUGGACUCGCGGCUUAUCAGCUUGUUGGUGGGGUAGUGGCUUACCAAGGCUUUGACGGGUAGCCGGCCUGAGAGGGUGACCGGCCACGUUGGGACGGAGAUACGGCCCAGACUCCUACGGGAGGCAGCAGUGGUGAAUAUUGCACAAUGGGCGGAAGCCUGAUGCAGCAACGCCGCGUGCGGGAUGACGGCCUUCGGGUUGUAAACCGCUUUCGCCUGUGACGAAGCGUGAGUGACGGUAAUGGGUAAAGAAGCACCGGCUAACUACGUG